Psammomys obesus (fat sand rat) is the source of this 305-nucleotide long non-coding RNA. RefSeq lists it as uncharacterized. Lineage: Eukaryota; Metazoa; Chordata; Mammalia; Rodentia; Muridae. The record is from RefSeq and is a predicted model, not a curated record. The transcript has 2 exons.
UAGUGUCGCGCAAUGUUCUUCUCUUCUCUUUCUCUGAAGGGCGUUUUGCGGCCAGUGGUCGCCAAAGGAACUCGAAGGGCCCCUCAACUGUAGGCCUUCCUCAAGAGCUACAGUUGGUCUGGGCUCUGCUUUAAUCCUUUCCUCUGAAUCUUCUGGCUUCCUUUUUUCCAGAGCAUGGUGAGUCGGCUGCAGACUUUGACUGUAAAUCAGCUACAACUAGAGACCCAGCGGGCAGGAGGUUUUGCUGGUAAGCUGGACAUCUGUGUAUGUGAAUUUCUUAGCAAUAAAGCAAAAGUGCAACCUUA